RNAcentral lists this long non-coding RNA (222 nucleotides) under Capsicum annuum. RNAcentral describes it as "long non-coding RNA (CANN_LNC000550)". The record is from RNAcentral. Lineage: Eukaryota; Viridiplantae; Streptophyta; Magnoliopsida; Solanales; Solanaceae.
UGCGUUCUUCCUGUAUUCUCCCUCUAAGCUGCGCUGGUAAGGGUUGACUGAUACCCCGAGGGAUAGAUUGAAGCCAAACCCCAUAUCCUUGAGUGUAGCCCGGAUUAUCCAAACUUUCUUUGAGUGUGUCCACACCUAGCUUUGUUGUAUGCUUCCAAAACUGCUCAUACUUGCUCUCACCUAAGGCUUGGUCCUUGAAGUACUCAAUAUCCUUCAGAAGAU